GUGGGUAUAGCUCAGUGGUAGAGCAUAUGCUUAGUAUAUACAUAAGGUCCUGGGUUCAAUCCCCAGUACCUCCA
RNAcentral lists this transfer RNA (74 nucleotides) under Camelus bactrianus (Bactrian camel). It matches the Rfam family "tRNA". From Rfam's summary of the family: Transfer RNA (tRNA) molecules are approximately 80 nucleotides in length. Their secondary structure includes four short double-helical elements and three loops (D, anti-codon, and T loops). RNAcentral also lists the same sequence under 3 other names. Lineage: Eukaryota; Metazoa; Chordata; Mammalia; Artiodactyla; Camelidae. The record is from Rfam by way of RNAcentral.